CCCUUAGAUGUUCGGGGCUGCACACGCGCUACACUGGAGGAAACAGCGUGUAUUGACCUGGUCCGAAAGGACUGGGUAAACCUGUGAAACUUCUCCGUGCUUGGGAUAGCGGAUUGCAAUUGUUUCGCUUCAACGAGGAAUUCCUAGUAAGCGCAAGUCAACAGCUUGCGUUGAUUACGUCCCUGCCCUUUGUACACACCGCCCGUCGCUACUACUGAUUGGAUGUUUAAGCGAGGUUCUCGAACUGCUAGCGACUUAGCUUCGGUGAGGUCGCAGUGUGGGAAGUGAACCUAGCUUUGGUGUCUAGAGGAAGUAAAAGUCGUAACA
RNAcentral lists this ribosomal RNA (327 nucleotides) under uncultured eukaryote. RNAcentral's name for it is "partial 18S ribosomal RNA". It matches the Rfam family "Eukaryotic small subunit ribosomal RNA", at positions 1470 to 1796 of the family's 1831-position model. The record is from RNAcentral.